Molecule: ribosomal RNA, 573 nt
Filed under: uncultured bacterium
Lineage: Bacteria
Description: bacterial SSU rRNA
Rfam family: Bacterial small subunit ribosomal RNA
Source: RNAcentral
GCAAGUCGAACGGUAGCAUUUCUAGCUUGCUAGAAGAUGACGAGUGGCGGACGGGUGAGUAAUGCUUGGGAACUUGCCUUUGCGAGGGGGAUAACAGUUGGAAACGACUGCUAAUACCGCAUAAUGUCUUCGGACCAAACGGGGCUUCGGCUCCGGCGCAAAGAGAGGCCCAAGUGAGAUUAGCUAGUUGGUAAGGUAACGGCUUACCAAGGCGACGAUCUCUAGCUGUUCUGAGAGGAAGAUCAGCCACACUGGGACUGAGACACGGCCCAGACUCCUACGGGAGGCAGCAGUGGGGAAUAUUGCACAAUGGGGGAAACCCUGAUGCAGCCAUGCCGCGUGUGUGAAGAAGGCCUUCGGGUUGUAAAGCUCUUUCAGUUGUGAGGAAAAGUUAGUAGUUAAUACCUGCUAGCCGUGACGUUAACAACAGAAGAAGCACCGGCUAACUCCGUGCCAGCAGCCGCGGUAAUACGGAGGGUGCGAGCGUUAAUCGGAAUUACUGGGCGUAAAGCGCACGCAGGCGGUUUGUUAAGCUAGAUGUGAAAGCCCCGGGCUCAACCUGGGAUGGUCAUU